This 1377-nucleotide ribosomal RNA is filed under the name Triticum aestivum (bread wheat). RNAcentral describes it as "partial small subunit ribosomal RNA". The record is from RNAcentral. Lineage: Eukaryota; Viridiplantae; Streptophyta; Magnoliopsida; Poales; Poaceae.
AUGGCAAGGCUGCCACCGGUCAGCCUUACCAUUGAUUCCUCACGGGCGGCGCGUCACGGGGCGGCGCGCCGACGCCUCCCCUCCCUCGCACGCGUACACACGGGCGCGGCGCGGCUAUAUAAGCCGGUGGCCUUCCUCGCCUCUGGCCACACCAGCCCUAGCCCUAGCAGCCGAGCUCUACCUCUCCCGACAGCCGCCGCCGAGCCCUCCCUCUCCCGAGCGCCGCCGUCGAGCCCUCCCUCUCCCUCCCUCCCUCUCCCGAUGGCCGAGCGAUUCCCCGGAGAUGAGGCGGCGGCCAACGGCUUCGGCCGCCGCUCGCUCCGCGAACAGGAGUCUUGGCUCCUGUUCCAGGCGAACAUCCCGGCGCCGCCGGACAUGCGCGUCGGGCCGACGGGGUGGAGACUGAGCAACGGGGGAGUGCCCAUUCCCCCAUUGCCCGACGCCGUGGCGAAACCGUCGUACUUCGCCGACGAGGUCGAGGUCGUGCGCGCCUCCCUCACCGACGCCCAGCUCGCCCUCCCCGAGUACGCCACCGACAACCAAGCGGCGUGGACGGCAUACUUCCAGCGCCGGCAGCAGCAGAGGAUGGCGUCCACCACCGGCGUCCACCAACGGCGCGCCGGUGGUGGCCGACCUGAAGAACAGCGAGGGACGCCACCUGUGGUGGGGUGUCCCCGGCCGCACCCUCGAGGGCGUUCUGACGUACCUCGAGGGCGCCAACGACCCGCCGUUGGCAUACCCCCCGGCGAGGGCGGCCGCCACGGCCACGGCUCACCGCCGACGCGACGGGCAAUGGUUGCCCAGGAGGUCCGACGCCUCCUCUUCUUCCUCCUCAUCACGCUCUUCUUCGCACUCCUCCGGCUCUCCGGCGCUGCUCGGCGUCAAGGCCGAACCCGCGGCGGAGACGCCGCUCGGCCGGCUCACUCGCAGCGCCGGCAUCGUCAUCAACGAGGGCGGCCGGCGCGCCUCCUCGUCGGCGGCUCCGCGCUUUGUCAAGCCCAAGAUGGAGCCGGGGCUCGCGCCGGUGAAGACGGAGCCGGGCCUCCCCGCGGUGAAGACGGAGCACGGCGGCGACGUCGAGCUCGACGACGACGCGGCCCUGGAAUGGGCGCGCGCGAACUCCCUGAAGAUGGCGAGGGAGCGCCAGUGCGCCGCCCUGCGGCGAUUCGCGCAGCGCCGCCAGGGCCGCGACGAAGGAGGCGUCGUCGUCAUCGAGGACAGCGACGACGACGACGCGCCGCCGCCACCAGUCCGCGUUGGGUCCACCAGGGACGGCCGCGUCAAGGAGGAGAAGCCCGACGACGACGACGGCGGCGAGGAUGGCGGCGACUACUCCGCAUUCAGCCAGUUUCUUUUUUAAUUAGAUAUAUUAUGUAA